UUACCUUUGGAGUUAUUUUUAUAUUCCUAUAUUUCCUUUUUUACUCAAUUGAUCUCUUAUUUCUUUUCUUCUUUUUUUUUCCACUUAACCAGAAGCCUUUUCUUCAUUUAGUUUUCUUAAAAUCAUAUCUAUAAUUCUAUAGUUCCUUUCUACGUAAUUUACCUAGCUUAUCAUUUAUAUUCAUUCUCUAUCAUUUCUUUUCAUUUCUUUUUAUUAUUAUUCCUAUCACAACUAUCUCAUACAAAUCACGAC
Molecule: long non-coding RNA, 252 nt
Filed under: Gossypium raimondii (Peruvian cotton)
Lineage: Eukaryota; Viridiplantae; Streptophyta; Magnoliopsida; Malvales; Malvaceae
Description: long non-coding RNA (GRAI_LNC008581)
Source: RNAcentral